Transfer RNA from Mesorhizobium sp. Root554, 72 nucleotides. It matches the Rfam family "tRNA". Rfam says of the family: Transfer RNA (tRNA) molecules are approximately 80 nucleotides in length. Their secondary structure includes four short double-helical elements and three loops (D, anti-codon, and T loops). Further hydrogen bonds mediate the characteristic L-shaped molecular structure. tRNAs have two regions of fundamental functional importance: the anti-codon, which is responsible for specific mRNA codon recognition, and the 3' end, to which the tRNAs corresponding amino acid is attached (by aminoacyl-tRNA synthetases). tRNAs cope with the degeneracy of the genetic code in two manners: having more than one tRNA (with a specific anti-codon) for a particular amino acid; and 'wobble' base-pairing, i.e. permitting non-standard base-pairing at the 3rd anti-codon position. The record is from Rfam. Lineage: Bacteria; Pseudomonadati; Pseudomonadota; Alphaproteobacteria; Hyphomicrobiales; Phyllobacteriaceae.
GGGCCGGUAGCUCAGCGGUAGAGCACGUGACUUUUAAUCAUGUGGUCGUGGGUUCGAUCCCCACCCGGCUCA